UGGCGUUACUGCGUCAUGCUUCCUUCCUGCCGAUAGCAUUUGGCUUUUACCUGGGGCUCUUCCUAACUGUGGUGGAUGCUGCGUCCUGUCCUGCAACCAGGAU
Long non-coding RNA from Sceloporus undulatus (fence lizard), 103 nucleotides. RefSeq lists it as uncharacterized. The record is from RefSeq and is a predicted model, not a curated record. The transcript is spliced from 3 exons. NCBI's taxonomy places the organism in Eukaryota, Metazoa, Chordata, Lepidosauria, Squamata, Phrynosomatidae.